GUCCACGCCCUAAAACGAUGUCUACUAGUUGUCGGGUCUUAAUUGACUUGGUAACGCAGCUAACGCGUGAAGUAGACCGCCUGGGGAGUACGGUCGCAAGAUUAAAAACUCAAAGGAAUUGACGGGGACCCGCACAAGCGGUGGAUGAUGUGGAUUAAUUCGAUGCAACGCGAAAAACCUUUACCUACCCUUGACAUGGAUGGAAUCCUUGAGAGAUUAGGGAGUGCCCGAAAGGGAACCAUUACACAGGUGCUGCAUGGCUGUCGU
RNAcentral lists this ribosomal RNA (267 nucleotides) under uncultured bacterium. Its description in RNAcentral is "partial 16S ribosomal RNA". It matches the Rfam family "Bacterial small subunit ribosomal RNA", at positions 793 to 1055 of the family's 1533-position model. The record is from RNAcentral.